GAUGAAGAACGCAGCGAAAUGCGAUAAGUAAUGUGAAUUGCAGAAUUCAGUGAAUCAUCGAAUCUUUGAACGCACAUUGCGCCCCCUGGUAUUCCGGGGGGCAUGCCUGUCCGAGCGUCAUUACAACCCUCAAGCUCAGCUUGGUGUUGGGCCCCGCCGCCCCGGCGGGCCCUAAAGUCAGUGGCGGUGCCGUCCGGCUCCGAGCGUAGUAAUUCUUCUCGCUCUGGAGGUCCGGUCGUGUGCUCGCCAGCAGCCCCCAAUUUUUUUCAGGUUGACCUCGGAUCAGGUAGGGAUACCCGCUGAACUUAAGCAUAUCAAUAAGCGGAGGA
This 329-nucleotide unclassified non-coding RNA is filed under the name soil metagenome. RNAcentral describes it as "partial contains 5.8S ribosomal RNA, internal transcribed spacer 2, and large subunit ribosomal RNA". The stretch from base 1 to 120 matches the Rfam family "5.8S ribosomal RNA", at positions 35 to 154 of the family's 154-position model. The record is from RNAcentral.